Molecule: transfer RNA, 79 nt
Filed under: Elusimicrobia bacterium HGW-Elusimicrobia-1
Lineage: Bacteria; Pseudomonadati; Elusimicrobiota
Description: tRNA-Glu
Rfam family: tRNA
About the family: Transfer RNA (tRNA) molecules are approximately 80 nucleotides in length. Their secondary structure includes four short double-helical elements and three loops (D, anti-codon, and T loops).
Source: RNAcentral
GGCGCCAUCGUCUAGUCCGGUUUAGGACGCCGCCCUCUCAAGGCGGAGAUCACGGGUUCAAAUCCCGUUGGCGCUACCA